Molecule: ribosomal RNA, 509 nt
Filed under: uncultured bacterium
Lineage: Bacteria
Description: partial 16S ribosomal RNA
Rfam family: Bacterial small subunit ribosomal RNA
Source: RNAcentral
GAUGAACGCUGGCGGCGUGCCUAACACAUGCAAGUUGAGCGACUCACCAGGGCUUGCUCUGGGGCAAAGCAGCGAACGGGUGAGUAACUCGUGGGUAACCUGCUGAGAUGACCGGGACAACCCGAGGAAACUCGGGCAAAUACCGGAAGUGAUUCCCACACAUCAGUGUGUGAAGGAAAGCGAGCUUCGGACUCCGCAUCUCGACGGGCUCGCGGCACAUUAGCGUGUCGGGGAGGUAACGGCUCACCAAGGCAACGAUGGAUAGCUGGUCUGAGAGGGUGAUCCGCCACACUGGGACGGAGACACGGCCCAGACUCCGACGGGAGGCAUCAGUGGGGAAUCUUGCGCGAUGCGCGAAAGCGUGACGCAGCAACGCCGCGUGAGGGAAGACGGCGUUCGGGUUGUAAACCUCUUACAGAAGGGACGAAGGGUCGGCCUCGAAUAACGAGCCAGCUUGACGGUACCUUCAGAAGAAGCCCCGGCUAACUACGUGCCAGCCGCCGCAGUAA